AGAGUUUGAUCAUGGCUCAGGAUGAACGCUGGCGGCGCGCCUAACACAUGCAAGUCGAACGGACGAUGAAAAGCUUGCUUUUCAAAGUUAGUGGCGGACGGGUGAGUAACGCGUGGGUAACCUGCCUCAUACAGGGGAAUAGCAGCUGGAAACGGCUGAUAAAACCGCAUAAGCGCACAGUGCCGCAUGGCACAGUGUGAAAAACUCCGGUGGUAUGAGAUGGACCCGCGUCUGAUUAGCUGGUUGGCGGGGUAACGGCCCACCAAGGCGACGAUCAGUAGCCGGCCUGAGAGGGUGAUCGGCCACAUUGGGACUGAGACACGGCCCAAACUCAUACGGGAGGCAGCA
This 348-nucleotide ribosomal RNA is filed under the name uncultured bacterium. Its description in RNAcentral is "bacterial SSU rRNA". It matches the Rfam family "Bacterial small subunit ribosomal RNA", at positions 8 to 353 of the family's 1533-position model. The record is from RNAcentral.